This 703-nucleotide ribosomal RNA is filed under the name Streptomyces sp. P3858. RNAcentral describes it as "bacterial SSU rRNA". It matches the Rfam family "Bacterial small subunit ribosomal RNA", at positions 24 to 744 of the family's 1533-position model. Lineage: Bacteria; Bacillati; Actinomycetota; Actinomycetes; Kitasatosporales; Streptomycetaceae. The record is from RNAcentral.
UCAGGACGAACGCUGGCGGCGUGCUUAACACAUGCAAGUCGAACGGUGAAGCCCUUCGGGGUGGAUCAGUGGCGAACGGGUGAGUAACACGUGGGCAAUCUGCCCUGCACUCUGGGACAAGCCCUGGAAACGGGGUCUAAUACCGGAUAUGACCUUCCUAUGCAUGGGGGUUGGUGGAAAGCUCCGGCGGUGCAGGAUGAGCCCGCGGCCUAUCAGCUUGUUGGUGGGGUGAUGGCCUACCAAGGCGACGACGGGUAGCCGGCCUGAGAGGGCGACCGGCCACACUGGGACUGAGACACGGCCCAGACUCCUACGGGAGGCAGCAGUGGGGAAUAUUGCACAAUGGGCGAAAGCCUGAUGCAGCGACGCCGCGUGAGGGAUGACGGCCUUCGGGUUGUAAACCUCUUUCAGCAGGGAAGAAGCGCAAGUGACGGUACCUGCAGAAGAAGCACCGGCUAACUACGUGCCAGCAGCCGCGGUAAUACGUAGGGUGCGAGCGUUGUCCGGAAUUAUUGGGCGUAAAGAGCUCGUAGGCGGCUUGUCGCGUCGGAUGUGAAAGCCCGGGGCUUAACUCCGGGUCUGCAUUCGAUACGGGCAGGCUAGAGUUCGGUAGGGGAGAUCGGAAUUCCUGGUGUAGCGGUGAAAUGCGCAGAUAUCAGGAGGAACACCGGUGGCGAAGGCGGAUCUCUGGGCCGAUACUGAC